RNAcentral lists this ribosomal RNA (511 nucleotides) under Glomus sp. Glo1. RNAcentral describes it as "SSU rRNA". It matches the Rfam family "Eukaryotic small subunit ribosomal RNA", at positions 569 to 1078 of the family's 1831-position model. RNAcentral also lists the same sequence under 1 other name. Lineage: Eukaryota; Fungi; Glomeromycota; Glomeromycetes; Glomerales; Glomeraceae. The record is from RNAcentral.
AGCAGCCGCGGUAAUUCCAGCUCCAAUAGCGUAUAUUAAAGUUGUUGCAGUUAAAAAGCUCGUUAGUUGAAUUUCGGGAUCAAUGUUUCGGUCAUGCCGUUGGUAUGUACUGAUAUUAUUGGUUUCUCACCUUCUAAAGAACCGUAAUGCCAUUAAUUUGGUGUCACGGGGAAUUAGGACUGUUACCUUGAAAAAAUUAGAGUGUUUAAAGCAGGCUCACGCUUGAAUACAUUAGCAUGGUAAUAAUGAAAUAGGACAUCCGAUUCUAUUUUGUUGGUUUCUAGGAUCGAUGUAAUGAUUAAUAGGGAUAGUUGGGGGCAUUAGUAUUCAAUUGUCAGAGGUGAAAUUCUUGGAUUUAUUGAAGACUAACUACUGCGAAAGCAUUUGCCAAGGAUGUUUUCAUUAAUCAAGAACGAAAGUUAGGGGAUCGAAGACGAUCAGAUACCGUCGUAGUCUUAACCAUAAACUAUGCCGACUAGGGAUCGGAUGAUGUUAAUUUUUUAAUGACUCA